UCGCAAUAGCCGGGGAGGUAGCGGUGCCUUAUUACCUGCAAUCCGCUAUAGCAGGGGCGAAUGCCUAUAGAAGGUCUUAUCAUGUGUGGUCAGCACUUUUGAUUUGAUGUUGAGGAAAAAGUCUUUUACGAAGAAAAACCACCGAACGGGUCAGAUCCGGAAGGAAGCAGCCAUAAGGCGGACACUUUUCUUGUGUAAGAGGUUCCUUUUUCUGAGUCAAAGAGAAAGCAAGCGCAUGGAUGAUUAGAUCGUAUAUAGGUUUGUGA
Molecule: signal recognition particle RNA, 266 nt
Filed under: Texcoconibacillus texcoconensis
Lineage: Bacteria; Bacillati; Bacillota; Bacilli; Caryophanales; Bacillaceae
Description: Bacterial large signal recognition particle RNA
Rfam family: Bacterial large signal recognition particle RNA
About the family: The signal recognition particle (SRP) is a universally conserved ribonucleoprotein involved in the co-translational targeting of proteins to membranes. Archaeal SRP consists of a 7S RNA and homologues of the eukaryotic SRP19 and SRP54 proteins.
Source: Rfam by way of RNAcentral